Non-coding RNA from Microtus oregoni (creeping vole), 375 nucleotides. Lineage: Eukaryota; Metazoa; Chordata; Mammalia; Rodentia; Cricetidae. The record is from the annotation of a RefSeq genome assembly.
AUGGAGUGGAGCUGGAUCACCCUCUUCCUCAUGUCACUAACUACAGGUGUCCACUCCCAGGUACAGCUGCAGCAGUCUGGGCCUGAGCUUGUGAGGCCUGGGAACUCAGUGAAAGUAUCCUGCAGGACCUCUGGCUUUACCUUCACUGAUUACUAUAUUGACUGGGUGAAGCAGAAACAUGGUCAGGGCCUAGAGUGGAUUGCAAUGAUUGAUCCUGAAAAUGGUAAUACUAAAUACAAUCAGAAGUUCCAGAGCAAGGCCACACUGACUGCAGACACAUCCUCCAGCACAGCCUACAUGGAGCUGAGAAGCCUGGCAUCUGAAGACUCUGCAGUGUAUUACUGUGCAAGGCACAGUGUUGCAACCACAUCCUGA